This 253-nucleotide ribosomal RNA is filed under the name uncultured bacterium. Its description in RNAcentral is "partial 16S ribosomal RNA". It matches the Rfam family "Bacterial small subunit ribosomal RNA", at positions 524 to 776 of the family's 1533-position model. The record is from RNAcentral.
GACAGAGGAGGCAAGCGUUGUCCGGAAUCACUGGGCGUAAAGCGCACGCAGGCGGAUCGAUAAGUCUGGGGUGAAAGCCCGCGGCUCAACCUCGGAAUUGCCUUCCAUACUGGCGGUCUCGAGUCCGGGAGAGGUGAGUGGAAUUGCUAGUGUAGAGGUGAAAUUCGUAGAUAUUAGGAAGAACACCAGUGGCGAAGGCGGGUCACUGGCCCGGUACUGACGCUCAGGUGCGAAAGCGUGGUGAGCAAACCGG